Molecule: non-coding RNA, 82 nt
Organism: Megalops atlanticus (tarpon)
Lineage: Eukaryota; Metazoa; Chordata; Actinopteri; Elopiformes; Megalopidae
Source: the annotation of a GenBank genome assembly
UCCCAUGUAGCUCAGUGGUUAAGGCAUUCGCUUUGAACACAAGCUAAGCUGUACAAUGUAGGUUCAAUCCCAGCCGUGUCAU